CCGGUUUACUUGCGCAUCACCCAAAAUGUCUGUUUUUACUCGAUGUCUCCAGAAUCUUCCGAAAAUACGCGUCAGCGAUGUUCAUCGCAUUGUUGAUGCCUGGUCCCCUGCUCCGACAAGCAAGAGGGACAAGGGCUUUAAACUCUACAUAUCGAGUUAUCUGCACAACUACAAGGGUGACAGCGGCUCACUUCAAGAGCAGGUGAAGCAAGUUGGGACAAUGUUGAAGACAUUUGCUCGCACUGGGCAAUCGGGUACAACUUGCAAACAACACCUGUGGUUGUUGGUUUAAUUCCCACUGGGGCCACCUGUACAUGUAGUAGACCUAGAUAUAAAUGUCAUAGUUUAGUAGUUGAAGGACCAGGACUGACUACUUUAUUCUUUUAUUCUGGGAACCCCUGUAGGUGCAGAUCAAACCCUAAUGCUGCGACGUCUUGGAGUUUGGCGAUGUUGUGCGUAGCAUGGACAACAAAAUGCUAUGCUGCAACAUUUCAGUGCCAAUGUGUCUGUUGGAGAGUUAUCCCUGCCAGGGGAUCUGUUACUCCCCCCUAGACACCCAGGAAGAUUUGGUGUUGCUUGACAACAGUUUGAGGCAGGAUAAAGAGCUCCAACAACGAUUUCUUCGGUUUUUGGCAAUCAAAUGUGGGAGGGACCUAAGGACAACCGUGUGGCGAAUGCUUCAGAGUGUCUUCUCUAAUCACCUUUCCAUCAAUACAACCUGGACUGGUGUAGGGGGAUAAAGCAUGUUUUAGAGACAUGUUCCUGAAGACCAUUGUUCAAAGAGCCAUCCGGAAGAACCCGGCAACCCAGCAUGCCACUGAUGAGGCGAUCCAGGUUAACGUUACGCGUUACCUGAAAGGAGCAUCUGAACAUGAAGGUGGAAAAAGGCGCCGCACAGCUGAGAGGGACCCACAGCCGACCCCUUAAACCUAGGCUGACUACUGACACCCCAGCAUCACUGACAACUGGAACCCUUUCUUUAUCCUGCAGUCAGUAACAUCAAGACCCCUAAAAAAGCCUGCUAAAAGUGUCAGACUACACUCACCCAAUCCACACUGUUCACUGUUGAAAUUGCUUUUUUUUUUUUUUUUUCUUUUCUCUCGUGACCCUGCUUUUAGGGCAGCUCCUUGGAUGAAUAUGGGAUGGUUUGUCCUUUUAUACAGGCGCAUGAGGAAUCACUGAAGAUAUGUCAAUUUGCACUGCCUCAUUCUGGAGGUCGGGGAAAACCGGUGAUUCUUAGCCCACUACGCCACACAGUCCCCAACCUCUCCAGACAUUCUGAUUGGCUGUGUUCUCUACAGCCAGAUUUUCUGCUGUUAAUUAUAUUUAUUCCCACGUGUUGUCAUGUGUAAGUUGAAUGUCAAAAUGUAUAUUAUACCUGUUAUCCUGCACAUUCCUUGAUACCAAAGAUCUCAAUUAUUUCAUAUACAAUGUGCUGCUUAUUUCAU
Xyrauchen texanus (razorback sucker) is the source of this 1448-nucleotide long non-coding RNA. RefSeq lists it as uncharacterized. NCBI's taxonomy places the organism in Eukaryota, Metazoa, Chordata, Actinopteri, Cypriniformes, Catostomidae. The transcript has 4 exons. The record is from RefSeq and is a predicted model, not a curated record.